This 164-nucleotide small nuclear RNA is filed under the name Neotoma lepida (desert woodrat). RNAcentral describes it as "U1 spliceosomal RNA". It matches the Rfam family "U1 spliceosomal RNA". Rfam says of the family: U1 is a small nuclear RNA (snRNA) component of the spliceosome (involved in pre-mRNA splicing). The record is from Rfam by way of RNAcentral. Lineage: Eukaryota; Metazoa; Chordata; Mammalia; Rodentia; Cricetidae.
AUACUUACCUGGCAGGGUAAGUGCCAUGACCGUGAAGGUGGUUUUCCCAAGCCAGGCUUAUCCGUUGAGCUCCAGAUGUGUUGAACCCUGUGAUUUUCCUAAAUUCAAAAAGCUUGACUGCAUAAUUUGUGAUAGUUGGGGGACUGGGUUCAAGCUCUCCCCUA